This 564-nucleotide ribosomal RNA is filed under the name uncultured bacterium. RNAcentral's name for it is "bacterial SSU rRNA". It matches the Rfam family "Bacterial small subunit ribosomal RNA", at positions 338 to 918 of the family's 1533-position model. The record is from RNAcentral.
CCUACGGGAGGCAGCAGUAAGGAAUUUUCGUCAAUGGGGGAAACCCUGAACGAGCAACGCCGCGUGGAGGAUGACGGUUUUCGGAUUGUAAACUCCUUUUGUAUGGGACGAUAAUGACGGUACCAUACGAAUAAGCCCCGGCUAACUCUGUGCCAGCAGCCGCGGUAAUACAGAGGAGGCAAGCGUUGUCCAGAAUUACUGGGCGUAAAGCGCACGCAGGUGGUCACGCAAGUGGUGUGUGAAACCAAUCAGCUUAACUGAUUGACGCCAUGCCAAACUGCGAGACUUGAGGGAUGGAGAGGUUGUUCGAAUUGCUGGUGUAGUGGUGAAAUGCGUAGAGAUCAGCAGGAAGACCAAGGGCGAAAGCAGACAACUGGCCAUCACCUGACACUGAGGUGCGAAAGCGUGGGGAGCGAACUGGAUUAGAUACCCAGGUAGUCCACGCCGUAAACGAUGUAUGCUCGGUAUCUGGGCUGUUACAGGCUUGGGUACCUCAGGAAACCCGGUAAGCAUACCGCCUGGGAAGUACGAACGCAAGUUUAAAACUCAAAGGAAUUGACGGAA